GAUGAACGCUGACGGCGUGCCUAAUACAUGCAAGUCGAGCGAACGGACGAGAAGCUUGCUUCUCUGAUGUUAGCGGCGGACGGGUGAGUAACACGUGGAUAACCUACCUAUAAGACUGGGAUAACUUCGGGAAACCGGAGCUAAUACCGGAUAAUAUUUUGAACCGCAUGGUUCAAAAGUGAAAGACGGUCUUGCUGUCACUUAUAGAUGGAUCCGCGCUGCAUUAGCUAGUUGGUAAGGUAACGGCUUACCAAGGCAACGAUGCAUAGCCGACCUGAGAGGGGGACGGGCCACCCGGGAACGGAGACACGGUCCAGACCCCUACGGGGGGCAGCAGUGGGGAAUUUUCCGCAAGGGGCGAAAGCCUGACGGAGCAACGCCGGGGGGGUGAAGAAGGGCUUCGGAUCGUAAAACCCUGUUAUUAGGGAAGAAAAGUUGUGUAAGUAACGGUGCACAUCUUGACGGUACCAAAUCAGAAAGCCCCGGCUAACUACGU
Molecule: ribosomal RNA, 496 nt
Filed under: uncultured bacterium
Lineage: Bacteria
Description: partial 16S ribosomal RNA
Rfam family: Bacterial small subunit ribosomal RNA
Source: RNAcentral